GACUAAGAUCAUACUUUGUCUUUUUCUCUGAAUCAGACUUCUCUCCUUGUCUUCGUUUACAUACAGCUGAGAAAACUGAAUUAUUGACAUGAACGUGUCCUCCUCCCCAACACUAGGGGGCGAUAUGGGUCUUUUCAGCGGCGCUGUUUCCGACCCCAUACAACCGUCAACAACAACAGCAGGUCGGUGUCAGACGUCAGAAGUGUCUACAACUGCUGCUGGGCAUUUUGGAGAAACAAGAAGAUGGAGCAUCGUACAGCGUUGUUUUUGUCCGACAUGAUGGACGCGCUACUUUUUCUAAAGAGGAGACCAACGCUACUCCUCUACUCUGGGGGUUUUGUUACGGGGGUUACGGGGGCGUGGCCUGUAACUGAUCAUACUCCGACUACGCUGGUUACAGGGUAGAGAAAAUCGAAUUCCAAUCACAUUAUCUGGGUGUCCAAUCGGAGUUCUACGACUCCAAUUAUAGUCAAACUAAUGCACUUCAGUUGUCCGGUCUUAAUCGGAAUAAGGCGAUAAUUCGGUUUUC
Molecule: long non-coding RNA, 529 nt
Filed under: Xyrichtys novacula (pearly razorfish)
Lineage: Eukaryota; Metazoa; Chordata; Actinopteri; Labriformes; Labridae
Source: RNAcentral